UCCUACGGGGGGCAGCAGUGAGGAAUAUUGGUCAAUGGGAGGGAUCCUGAACCAGCCAAGCCGCGUGAGGGAAGACGGCACUAUGGGUUGUAAACCUCUUUUGUCGGAGAACAAAACCGGGGACGUGUCCCGGACUGCGUGUAUCCGAAGAAAAAGCAUCGGCUAACUCCGUGCCAGCAGCCGCGGUAAUACGGAGGAUGCGAGCGUUAUCCGGAUUUAUUGGGGUUAAAGGGGGCGUAGGCGGUCCGUUAAGUCAGGGGUAAA
Molecule: ribosomal RNA, 264 nt
Filed under: uncultured bacterium
Lineage: Bacteria
Description: partial 16S ribosomal RNA
Rfam family: Bacterial small subunit ribosomal RNA
Source: RNAcentral